Long non-coding RNA from Eucalyptus grandis, 695 nucleotides. RefSeq lists it as uncharacterized. NCBI's taxonomy places the organism in Eukaryota, Viridiplantae, Streptophyta, Magnoliopsida, Myrtales, Myrtaceae. The record is from RefSeq and is a predicted model, not a curated record. The transcript has 5 exons.
CAGUAAAGCCAAAGAAAAGAGACCGUCAUGUGAAUGAUACACCAGUGUGCAUAAGCGGCACCGCCAGAGUGAAUUUCAGCAGGUUGAUCGGGUUUUGGGCUGUCGUGUUAGAGAGAAGCAGGACAGACAUCGACAUAGUACUUCUGGCGAAAUCAACUUAGAUGUAGGAGACAGGGCUGGACUUGCUGAUGACAGACAAGCUGAUAUGAGCAUUGACAGUGAUAUCAAACUGCACAAUCUGAAUGUUUUUCAGUGGUUAUUCUCUCAUUGGCUGGAAUUUUAAUGGUAAAGCUGGAGGAAGAGUCGAAAACUGUAAAACUUGGUUGACAACAUUUCAUCUUUCUUCUAUUGAGGUUGAAAGAUGUUGUGAUUUGAGCAGGAGGAGCCCCAUAUCCAUUGCAGCAGCUGCUAUCUGAUGAGAAGAAGUCUCCCCAAGAUAUAUCACUUGCUACUAGAGUCACCGAGGGGAUGGUUAGGAACUCCUCCAAGGAUCUGUAUCCUCACAUUUUGAAGAUAAAUACCAAGCUGGUAUGGCAAGGAAGAGGAUCUAAAGAAUUUCUGCAGCUUUUGAGUGUGUAGAUAUACAAACAAAAUCGACAUUAGUUAACUUUUAGUUAGUUUUGGAAAUCAGAACAAUCUUGAAUUUUUAAUUCUUGUUAUAAAGAAUAUGGUGGUUCUUAAUUCUCACUCUUUGU